RNAcentral lists this ribosomal RNA (253 nucleotides) under uncultured bacterium. RNAcentral's name for it is "partial 16S ribosomal RNA". It matches the Rfam family "Bacterial small subunit ribosomal RNA", at positions 524 to 776 of the family's 1533-position model. The record is from RNAcentral.
UACGGAGGGUGCGAGCGUUAUCCGGAUUUACUGGGUUUAAAGGGUGUGUAGGCGGAUCUUUAAGUCAGUGGUGAAAUCUUCAGGCUCAACCUGGAAACUGCCAUUGAUACUAUUGAUCUUGAAUACUGUGGAGGUGAGCGGAAUGUGUCGUGUAGCGGUGAAAUGCAUAGAGAUGACACAGAACACCGAUUGCGAAGGCAGCUCACUACGCAGUUAUUGACGCUGAGGCACGAAAGCGUGGGGAUCAAACAGG